Molecule: unclassified non-coding RNA, 249 nt
Filed under: uncultured Mortierella
Lineage: Eukaryota; Fungi; Mortierellomycota; Mortierellomycetes; Mortierellales; Mortierellaceae
Description: sequence contains ITS2
Source: RNAcentral
AACACCUCAAAGCUUUUGAUUUUUUUUAAAAGUUUUGGACUUGAGCAAUCCCAACACCGGUCUUUUACAGAUCGGCGGCGGGUUGCUUGAAAUGCAGGUGCAGCUGGACAUUCUCCUGAGCUAAAAGCAUAUUUAUUUAGUCCCGUCAAACGGAUUAUUACUUUUGCUGCAGCUAAUAUAAAGGGAGUUUGACCGUAUUGGCUGACUGAUGCAGGAUUUCACAAGGGUCGGCAACGAUUCUUGUAAAAC